CUACGGGUGGCUGCAGUCAAGAAUCUUCCUCAAUGGCCGAAAGGCUGAAGGAGCGACGCCGCGUGUAUGAUGAAGCCCUUCGGGGUGUAAAAUACUUUUAUUAGGGACGAAACAAUGACGGUACCUAAUGAAUAAGGGGCUGCUAACCUCGUGCCAGCAGCAGCGGUAAUACGAGGGCCCCAAGCGUUAUCCGGAUUUAUUGGGCGUAAAGGGUCCGUAGGUUGUUUGUCGCAUCUUCUGUUAAAUCCCAGAGCUCAACUCUGGAACUGCGGAGAGAUGGACAGACUAGAGGCCGGGAGAGGCAAGCGGAAUUGUCGGUGUAGGGGUUAAAUCCGUUAAUAUCGACAGGAACACCAAAUGCGAAGGCAGCUUGCUGGAACGUGCCUGACACUGAGGGACGAAAGCGUGGGGAGCGAAUGGGAUUAGAUACCCCCGUAGUC
Molecule: ribosomal RNA, 440 nt
Filed under: uncultured bacterium
Lineage: Bacteria
Description: partial 16S ribosomal RNA
Rfam family: Bacterial small subunit ribosomal RNA
Source: RNAcentral